UUUUUGUGGCUGGCUUGAGUGAUAUUCUUUUUUCCUUACCUUUUCAGUAACAAUUCUAGUUUCUGGUAGGCUUUUUAAUUAGUCAGUGAAGGAGGGAAAAGCCUUUUUUGGAUGAGUUGUGUAAACAGGAAGACCUGUUUGUUAUUGGCCUUUUGAUAAAUUAGUAGCUCAUGUUAACUUGUGCAAAAGCUUCUUGUAACUUCUUAGCAGAACAGGUUGAUGAGGCAAGUUUGCAUCAUCUGGGUUUUUUUGGGAAUGUUGUGUGACAAAGGGGAGGUAGAGUUGUUAGAACUGUGUGUAUUACAGUUUAAGCGUAAGGAAAAUAAUCUUUUGUUAUCUUAUACUGUUGUGGUUGUUUGUUUUUUUAGCCAGAAACAAUCUCAGCAUUCACUUCUGAUCCAGCACUUCUGUCAUUUGCUGAAUAUUUCUGCAAGCCAACUGUGAACAUGGGUCAGGUAUAUAUUCUAUGGUUUGCCGAGCCCCAGGACUAGAAUUUGUUAUUAUUUCUAUGCAUGGGUCACCCAAAACAUCUCUACUAUCUAUAUCUAUCUUUGAGAUUGAUGACAUGCGUCAGUCACAUUGGAUGACUUUUGCUUGGCACGUAUAGAUUUGCAUAGCCUAAAACUAUUAAAUUCAGCAACUUUCUACCUUGAUAGAAGAAACAACUUAAAAUUUAUAAGACAUCAGUUUUGACAGAUGAUAGUUUCUGUCAUCUACAAGAAUGAUACCCAUCCAUAUUCUGCUUUAUGUUUUCAGUGUUUACCACCUUUCUCUUAUUUUUAUGUAAUUUCAUUAACUGUUUCCUCUGUAUGUUAUAACCCUUCUUUUUAUUGUUCAUACACCUGUUACCUUCAAGAUUCCAAGGGUGCUUAGCAGAUUUUUCUUUAUUUUUUUGUUUUUUGUUUUUUGAGACAGGGUCGGUUUUUUCUGUUGCCCAGGCUGGAGUGCAGUGACGUGAUCAUGGCUCACUGCAUCCUUGACCUCCUGGAGUGAAGCCAUCCUUCCACCUCAGCCUCCUGAGUAGCUGGGACUACAGGCAUGUAGCCACCAUGCCUGGCUACUUUUUUAAAAAAAUUUUUUGUAGAGAUGGAGUCUCACUAUAUUGCCCAGGCUGGUCUUGAACUUCUGGGCUCAAAUGAUCCUCCCACCUUGGACUCCCAAAGUGCUGGGAUUAUAGGCAUGAGCCACUGUGCCUGGCCCAGAUCUUUGACUUAAUCCACCAUAGAGACAAGGAAAGAUUGGAUGCAUAUAUGGCCUUCAGAAAAUUUCUCAACCUCUCCAAAAUGUAGUUUCCUCAUUUCUAAAAGUGAUUAUAAUAGAACCUACCUUACAGUAUUGUUUUGAGGAUUAAGUGAAAUAACCUUCCCCUCUCUUUUUUAUUGAAUCUUUACUAUACAUGGGAUACUCUGCUAAUACUUAAAUGUCAUUUAAUUAUGACCCUGAGAAUAGAUAUUUUAUCAUUCUGGGCUUACAGAUGAGGAAACUGCCACUGAGAGAUGUCACAUGCCCAAGAUCACACAGCUAGUAAGAGCUGGGCUGUGCACUCCAGGUCACGGGUCUCUAAUAAAGCCCAUGCCCACCCUUAACCCCAGCUGGACUUGACUCUGCCGCCUCCCCUAAACUUGUUCUGGUCAGUGUUUUUUUUCUUGCAGCUUUGUUAACUCUGUUUCCUUUCUGGAUCCUACUCUUCCCAGCCCAACCCAAGGCAUAGCUCUGUGAUGUCCUAUCUACUCAUUUUGUCCUAGUUUGGUCCAUUCCUCUCUUCUGUAGCACUUACUAUCCUUAACUGUCUCUUGGGACUUAAUUUUUUUUUUUAUUAAUGUUUAAUGUUACAUGUGCUGUGGCUUUUUAAAAAAGAUUGUAGUGUUACUUUUAUGUCAUUCAUUAUAAAACUUAAGAAUGGGCCAUAGUAGUGCUAUACAAUUCGUUUUUGAAUUGAUUUUGGAAUAUACUUUGUGCUACAAAACUUCUGAUUUUCUGCAGAAACAGGAAAUUCUGGAUCUCUUUUCUUCAGUACUCUAUGAAUGUGUUACCCAGGAGACCCCAGAGAUGUUGCCUGCAUACAUAGCAAUGGAUCAGGCUAUAAGAAGACUUGGGAGAAGAGAAAUGUCUGAGACUUCUGAACUUUGGCAGAUAAAGUUGGUGUUAGAGUUUUUCAGCUCCCGAAGCCAUCAGGAGCGGCUGCAGAACCACCCUAAGCGGGGGCUCUUUAUGAACUCGGAAUUCCUCCCUGUUGUGAAGUGCACCAUUGAUAAUACCCUGGACCAGUGGCUACAAGUCGGGGGUGAUAUGUGUGUGCACGCCUACCUCAGCGGGCAGCCCUUGGAGGAAUCACAGCUGAGCAUGCUGGCCUGCUUCCUCGUCUACCACUCUGUGCCAGCUCCACGGCACCUGCCACCUAUAGGACUAGAAGGGAGCACAAGCUUUGCUGAACUGCUCUUCAAAUUUAAGCAGCUAAAAAUGCCAGUGCGAGCUUUGCUGAGAUUGGCUCCUUUGCUUCUUGGAAAUCCACAGCCAAUGGUGAUGUGACCGUGUCUGGCGGUGAACCUACCCUGAAACGUGACUUCUGCACAAAAAACGUGACCAAACAUCAAAGCUAAAGCAAUGUUUAUAAAGUUUUAUGGUAUAACUAGGGGGAAAUGAGCUGCACAAACCUUAAUGUAUUUUAAAUCUGUUGCUGUCAUCAUUAACGUUAUAUGAUAUAUAAAAGCAAGUUAAAAUUUACUUUUGUAAAUAAAGUUUUUGGUUUGUUUUC
This 2755-nucleotide small RNA is filed under the name Pan troglodytes (chimpanzee). RNAcentral describes it as "retained intron". The record is from RNAcentral. Lineage: Eukaryota; Metazoa; Chordata; Mammalia; Primates; Hominidae.